GAUGAACGCUGGCGGCGUGCCUAAUACAUGCAAGUCGAACGAACAGGUAAGGAGCUUGCUCCUUUGACGUUAGCGGCGGACGGGUGAGUAACACGUGGAUAACCUACCUAUAAGACUGGGAUAACUUCGGGAAACCGGAGCUAAUACCGGAUAACAUAUUGAACCGCAUGGUUCAAUAGUGAAAGGCGGCUUUGCUGUCACUUAUAGAUGGAUCCGCGCCGUAUUAGCUAGUUGGUAAGGUAACGGCUUACCAAGGCAACGAUACGUAGCCGACCUGAGAGGGUGAUCGGCCACACUGGAACUGAGGCACGGUCCAGACUCCUACGGGAGGCAGCAGUAGGGAAUCUUCCGCAAUGGGCGAAAGCCUGACGGAGCAACGCCGCGUGAGUGAUGAAGGUCUUCGGAUCGUAAAACUCUGUUAUCAGGGAAGAACAAAUGUGUAAGUAACUGUGCACAUCUUGACGGUACCUGAUCAGAAAGCCACGGCUAACUACGUG
Molecule: ribosomal RNA, 497 nt
Filed under: uncultured bacterium
Lineage: Bacteria
Description: partial 16S ribosomal RNA
Rfam family: Bacterial small subunit ribosomal RNA
Source: RNAcentral